Molecule: ribosomal RNA, 320 nt
Filed under: uncultured Pseudomonas sp.
Lineage: Bacteria; Pseudomonadati; Pseudomonadota; Gammaproteobacteria; Pseudomonadales; Pseudomonadaceae
Description: bacterial SSU rRNA
Rfam family: Bacterial small subunit ribosomal RNA
Source: RNAcentral
UGUCGUGAGAUGUUGGGUUAAGUCCCGUAACGAGCGCAACCCUUGUCCUUAGUUACCAGCACGUUAUGGUGGGCACUCUAAGGAGACUGCCGGUGACAAACCGGAGGAAGGUGGGGAUGACGUCAAGUCAUCAUGGCCCUUACGGCCUGGGCUACACACGUGCUACAAUGGUCGGUACAAAGGGUUGCCAAGCCGCGAGGUGGAGCUAAUCCCAUAAAACCGAUCGUAGUCCGGAUCGCAGUCUGCAACUCGACUGCGUGAAGUCGGAAUCGCUAGUAAUCGUGAAUCAGAAUGUCACGGUGAAUACGUUCCCGGGCCUU